RNAcentral lists this ribosomal RNA (423 nucleotides) under uncultured bacterium. Its description in RNAcentral is "partial 16S ribosomal RNA". It matches the Rfam family "Bacterial small subunit ribosomal RNA", at positions 360 to 776 of the family's 1533-position model. The record is from RNAcentral.
AAUAUUGGACAAUGGGCGAAAGCCUGAUCCAGCCAUGCCGCGUGUGUGAAGAAGGUCUUCGGAUUUUAAAGCACUUUAAGUUGGAGGAAGGGUUGUAGGUUAAUACCCUGCAAUGUUGACGUUACCAACAGAAUAAGGACCGGCUAACUUCGUGCCAGCAGCCGCAGUAAUACGAAGGGUGCAAGCGUUAAUCGGAAUUACGGGGAGUAAAGCGCGCGUAGGUGGAUCGUUAAGUUGGAAGUAAAAGCCCCGGGCUUAACCUGGGAAGUACUUUCAAAACUGACGAGCUAGAGUACGGUAGAGGGUAGUGGAAUUACCUGUGUAGCGGUGAAAUGCGUAGAUAUAGGAAGGAACAUCAGUGGCGAAGGCGACUACCUGGACUGAUACUGACACUGAGGUGCGAAAGCGUGGGGAGCAAACAGG